RNAcentral lists this long non-coding RNA (508 nucleotides) under Nicotiana benthamiana. Its description in RNAcentral is "long non-coding RNA (NBEN_LNC039893)". Lineage: Eukaryota; Viridiplantae; Streptophyta; Magnoliopsida; Solanales; Solanaceae. The record is from RNAcentral.
AAUGUCAACUUAUUUCAUGGGGGCGUUGCUGACAAGCAAGCUGGGAAAUACAGUGGAGGUAUGAAGAGGAGGCUAAGUGUUGCAAUUUCACUGAUCGGAGAUCCUAAGGUAUGUUAAUUCUACCAUUCAUCCUCAUGGGAAGACAUUCGGAGUUAUGUGUAUUCAUAUUCUUGUGUUUAUGAAAUCUUCCAGGUUGUCUACAUGGAUGAGCCCAGUACUGGACUGGAUCCAGCUUCGCGACAUAACUUAUGGAAUGUUGUCAAGCGUGCAAAGCAAGAUAGAGCAAUUAUUCUCACAAGUAAUUUAACAUUACUUCUCUUGUUUCUUUGUUUCCCACUUUGACCUGAAUAAACUUUGUGCAGUUAGGACAGCACCAACCAGCUAUCCUUAUGGGAAGACAUUCGGAGUUAUACGUAUCGAAAUAUUCCAGGUUGUCUACAUGGAUGAGCCCAGUACUGGACUUGAUCCAGCUUCGCGACAUAACUUAUGGAAUGUUGUCAAACGUGCA